RNAcentral lists this long non-coding RNA (659 nucleotides) under Gallus gallus (chicken). Lineage: Eukaryota; Metazoa; Chordata; Aves; Galliformes; Phasianidae. The record is from RNAcentral.
GGUGAAUUUUCAGACCUGCAUCCUCUGAUCAGACCCAGCCCCUGGAGCAGAACGGAGGUGUAAUGCUGAGGAGCUGCAGGGCAGAGCACAGCUUUGGUCACUUUGGAGUUGGAGAUCUUGAGCCGGGGAGGAGAUCCCAGUGAGGGGAGAAGGGAUGUCCCCAGCCUGACAGCUCCUUCCUGGCUGCGCUCUGCCCGCUCUCUGCCCGAUGUCUCCGGGAUUCUCCAGGAGGGACCCAACCUGCCGUGGCCCCAGCAAGAGGCAGCAUUGGCUGCUGGACGUGGAGGGGUUCUGCAUUGCUUCGCACCUGUGGGGAGGGAGCCAGGGGAUGGGGAGCCUGGCAAAAAUCCCGUGUAACUCCUGUAUGUCACCUCCAGGACCCAAAUACCCCUGGGCAGAGAGGUGUGAGCACCGUCCCAGCUGGGUGUGGGGAUGUUGGUGGGAGCAGGAGGGAGGUCUGAGCGGGAUGGAUGCCAUGUUAAGGGGCUCUGCUCAUGGAGCAGAGCUUGGCCUACGCUGUGCGUGCGUGCGUGAUGGACUGAGCGUGGGCUGACCACGCCUGGUCCAGGCGGUGUUCCAUUGCACUGUAAGAAAAAUGCACUGUAAUUCCCCCCUAAUUAAAAUCAACCCCACCCCGUGCACUGUUGCAAAUAAACACU